CGUGUUCUUUCAUCACGAUAUCUAUUUAUAUUAACCGCUCUACCUUCCUGCUCGUCCAGCCUGGCGGGGCGUUUUCAAGGCUGAGGGGAGAAGAACUUUGUCUCGUUUCAUCAAAUCUGCCCUCUCUGGAGGGCUGCUGAUGGACAGGUGACCCUCCAGAGGGAGGGUCUGUAAAUACCCCUCGGUCACCUACCUGGCCCUCGGGGAGGCACUCAGCCCUGCCGGCCAAACAAGCACACCCUGGCUGUGCCCCACUCACACACUCUCACACCCACACGCACCAACUCACGCGCCCACACUCUCACACACACACGCACCAACUCACGUGCCCACACUCACUCACACACACCCACACUCACACACUCACAUGCAUCAACUCACACGCCCACACUCGCACUCACAGACACGCGCCCACACUCACGCUGUCACGUGCGCCGACACACGCACCGGCCCACACGCCCACACUCACACACACUGACAUGCCCCGGCUCACACGCCAACCCUCACAUGCUCUCACACGUGCCAACACACGCACCGGCUCACGCGCCCAC
RNAcentral lists this long non-coding RNA (551 nucleotides) under Homo sapiens (human). RNAcentral describes it as "non-protein coding lnc-MEGF6-3:1". Lineage: Eukaryota; Metazoa; Chordata; Mammalia; Primates; Hominidae. The record is from RNAcentral.